UACGUAGGGGGCUAGCGUUAUCCGGAAUUACUGGGCGUAAAGGGUGCGUAGGUGGUUUCUUAAGUCAGAGGUGAAAGGCUACGGCUCAACCGUAGUAAGCCUUUGAAACUGGGAAACUUGAGUGCAGGAGAGGAGAGUGGAAUUCCUAGUGUAGCGGUGAAAUGCGUAGAUAUUAGGAGGAACACCAGUUGCGAAGGCGGCUCUCUGGACUGUAACUGACACUGAGGCACGAAAGCGUGGGGAGCAAACAGGAUUAGAUACCCCAGUAGUCCCUGAG
This 277-nucleotide ribosomal RNA is filed under the name uncultured prokaryote. Its description in RNAcentral is "partial 16S ribosomal RNA". It matches the Rfam family "Bacterial small subunit ribosomal RNA", at positions 524 to 801 of the family's 1533-position model. The record is from RNAcentral.